UCAAGAAACUUCCAUCAAAUAGAUUCAUGCGUGAGAUCUCGCUUAAAACCAUAUAUAUCAACAGGUAAACAAGAAAUCAAUUGAAACAAUAUAGAAACAGAGUAUAACUUCAACACAUAAAUAGGAAGAUCAAAGUGAAAUCCGUUGAAAAGAGGAAGAGCUUUUGACGUACAUCACUUGCAAGCUCUAAUUUUCUAGAUCCCAAUUGAAACAACUCGAUAGAUUAUU
RNAcentral lists this long non-coding RNA (228 nucleotides) under Actinidia chinensis (golden kiwifruit). RNAcentral's name for it is "long non-coding RNA (ACHI_LNC005563)". Lineage: Eukaryota; Viridiplantae; Streptophyta; Magnoliopsida; Ericales; Actinidiaceae. The record is from RNAcentral.